UACGAACUGUGCAAACGUUAUUCGGAAUCACUGGGCUUAAAGGGUGCGUAGGCGGCGGCACAAGUCAGGUGUGAAAUCCCCCGGCUCAACCGGGGAACAGCGCUUGAAACUAGGUCGCUCGAGUGAGGCAGGGGUGCAUGGAACUUCCGGUGGAGCGGUGAAAUGUGUAGAGAUCGGAAGGAACGCCGGCGGCGAAAGCGGUGCACUGGGCCUUGUCUGACGCUGAGGCACGAAAGCUAGGGGAGUGAACGGG
RNAcentral lists this ribosomal RNA (253 nucleotides) under uncultured bacterium. RNAcentral describes it as "partial 16S ribosomal RNA". It matches the Rfam family "Bacterial small subunit ribosomal RNA", at positions 524 to 776 of the family's 1533-position model. The record is from RNAcentral.